Molecule: long non-coding RNA, 4940 nt
Filed under: Homo sapiens (human)
Lineage: Eukaryota; Metazoa; Chordata; Mammalia; Primates; Hominidae
Description: non-protein coding lnc-JMJD4-4:3
Source: RNAcentral
AUGUGCAGCGGCCAGCGCACCGGCUCCUGCCCUCGCCGCGGCCUCUGCCAGGACCCCGACACCCCGCCCGACCCUACCCUCAAGCGGGGCUGCGGCCUCACCGUCUGCAACAGCCGCUCCGUCCGGCAUUUGGCGUGCUCCCCGGGGCAGAGGCCGCGGUGUCCUCAGGCUGUGGCACCAGCCUGCGACCCCCACGCCCGGCUCCGGCCCAGGAGGAGGAGGGCGCUGCUCCCCGGGUAGGGCGACCGGUCACCUGGGCCGGGAGGGCGGCGCAGGGGCGGAAGCGGCUGUCCGGGCUGCUGCUUUGGACUUCUCCGCCCUCUGGCCGGCCCGGCCGCGUCGCCCAGGGCUCCAGGGCCGCCUGGCGCCACCCUCUCCCAGCGCCGCGGUCCCUCCGGUACCUCCCUGGCGGCUGCGGAGCCCUCCUGGGACAGGGUCCAUAAACUCUCUAGAGCGGGAAGUCGCGCAGUCGCGGGGCCGUCACGGGGACCGCUCGAGAUCCGAGCCCACUGGGUGCCCCGGACCCUUCUCUCGCCGGCCCGGCCCCGCGCCCAGACCUAGCGGCCGCUGGCGCCUGGCCCGCUGCGUGGGUCUUCGGUGAGCUAGCUGCCCACCCAGUGCUGCGGCCUCGGCUCCCGCAUGCGCGCUCUGGUGGUUCCUUGCUAGGGGCGACCCUGUGGGCCAGCUUCCCACGCCCGGUCCCCAGGCCGCGCCCAACCCGGCUCCCUGGGCUAGGGUACUGGCUCCUCCUGGGGGCCGUGGGACUGGGAGGCAGGGGCGUUAAGGGAGACGGUGGGACCGAGGGCAGCCCCUGCUGAGUGCACCGCGAGGUCGAGCGCAGGCCUCUGUUGCACAGUGCGCGGCUUUUGCUGGGACUGUGCUGGGGCUCAGAGGGUGGUAUCAGUGCCAGAGGCGAUGUCAGGGAGGCUUCACCAAGAAGAAGCCGCGGAGCUGACCCCUGGGGUGUGAGCAGGUCUUCUUCAGGUGGAAGAGGGCAGGACCGAAUUGCAGGUGGAGUCAACUGUGUUUUCGCACACCUGGGGGGUGAAGGGGACGCAGUCUGUCUACCUGACCCGUGAAAUGUAGGAGACUGUACCCCAGAAGCAGCGGGUUUACUGCUGCAUUGAUUAACCAAGUCUGGAACAAACAUGUAGCUAAGCUGCGAGUUCUGUGCCAGUGGUCCCAACACCCACUCCCCCAGGAAAACACAGCUUUGGAGGUUGGGUGCUUGUCAGGCCUCAGAAUGGAGAGCAGGGGCCAGAGACACCAAGCAGGGGGAACCCACCCUAGGCCUCUUGAGGGACGACGAUGUGGGGAGCUGGUGGCAGAGCCUGAGCUGGCCCGAGGUUGCAUGGUGGGGACAGAUUCGAGGCAUAGUAGGGACUGGUGACCUCAGUUCCCAGAAUGUCCCAGCCUGGCCUCCUGGUCCAGCUAGCAAGUAGUGGGUGCUGCCCUGCAAAGACUCUGGGGGUGCCUGGGCCCCCCCUCACCAAACUUGACUGGUGACUUCUGUGUUCAUCCUCACAAGAAGAGGGAUUUUCUCUCACUUUCAGGCAAGCCCAGGAAAGUCAGGGGCCUAUGUGAGCCAAAGAGGAGAGAAGGCGAUGCUUUAGCCCAUUGUUUCUGCCCCGCCUGGUUUGUGGCCUUGGGGACUUGAUUUGCACCACAGGAUAAAGGGCAAUGAAAGCCCCUCCCUGACUGGCUUCUCACUCCACUCUGACCAGCCCAUUGCACAGCGCCCACCCUGCAGCUCCAGGUACAGCCUGUGCACCUGCAGCUCCAGGUACAGAGGCUGGGCUGGUUCUGGGCUGACCUCAGGGCCUUCUGAUGGUUGCAACCCUCAGGAUGCCUCAUGCUCACCCCUUGGCACCCACCUGACAGCUCAGCAUGUCUGCUAUAUGCCAUCCUCAAUGCCUGCUCUAGACAAGCCCAAGUCCCCCAGGAGUGGCAGAGGGAACUGAGCUGGGAACUAAGUCCCAGCUCACUGAACCCCAAGUGGGCCUCCCACUUUAGGUCACAGCCCCAGGCAAGUUCCCUUCAGGGAUGUGAUCCCAGGGGCCACAGCAGCACGUUCUGGCCUAACCUAUUCACUACUCAAUUAGUUACUGAACAGGCCAGGAUGGGCAUGGGCCCUGACAUUAAUCCCCUUUCUCUGUGAGGGGGCUGGAUUGGGUUUGCCAUCCUGAUGUCUUUGUGGAAAGAGCUGGCAGGUGGAGCAAGUCUCAGGGGCCAGCCAUAGGACAGGGAACCUAGGAUUCGCCUCUGCUGGAACCCUGUGAGGCCCCUGCAGGCAGGAGGGUCCAAUGGAGGUCCAGGCACCUCUCCCAGCUUGGUGUUCACAGCUCCUCCCUGGCCCACUCCCUCUACACUUGCACCUGCUGGUCUCUGGGAGGAGAGCAUCCAUCCAUCUUCUGCAUGUAGCUUUCUGCUGCAUUUCCAUGAGGAUGGUCUCCUUGAUAGAAUGCCCAGCAGGGUGUCCUGAGCCUGUGCUGGCUGUUCUCUAAGUGCCAAGUCAGUGAGAGGGACUUGAAAACUCAAGACUUAUUAACAUUAUUUUCUGGUAAAGUGCAGAAAAAUAAAAAAAAUAAAAAUAAAAACCCUGCUUUCAGGGUUUUUUCCUUAAAAUGUGUAAAAACAAAUAUUGAAAUUUCUAUCUUUUAUAUAAUUUGGAUUCUGUCAUCACAUGGACCUUUCAUUUUCCUGAAAUUUAUUUUUAUAUAUGUAUAUCAAACAUUGAAUUUUUAUUUUCUUCUUUACUGAAAUUGUUAACCGUUUUAGAGGCCAAUUUUUUUUAAAAAAAAAUCAUACUUCACAAACAUUAAUAAAAUGUAGGAAUUUAUUUAUAAUGUUAUUAUACUUUUUUCUUUCUUUUUUUUUUUUUUUUUUGAGACAGUCUCGCUCUGUCACCCAGGCUGGAGUGCACUGGCCCAAUCUUGGCUCACUGCAACCACUGCCUCCCAGGUUCAAGCAAUUCUUCUGCCUCAGCCUCCCAAGUAGCUGGGAUUACAGGUGCUCACCACCAUGCCCGGCUAAUUUUUGUAUUUUUAGUAGAGACAGGGUUUCACCAUAUUGGGCAGGCUGGUCUCGAACUCUGACCUCGUGAUCCGCCCACCUCGGCCUCCCAAAGUGCUGGGAUUACAGGCGUGAGCCCCCGCACCCAGCCUAUACUUUUUAAAGAUGUGAAUAAUUGCAUUAAAGACUUUAUAUUACUUGUAUGAAUUAAUUUACAUUUUUCCACAAUCUUGAAAAAUAUUUUAGCUAGGUAUGCAAUUCCAGAUUAACACAUAUUUAACCUACAACUUCAAGCUUAAUAUCUAUUGAUAUAUCAAUUUCAUGAAGAAGUUGAGAGACAAGAUUAAAAUCUAUUGUUCCAUAAUUUGCAUUUUAUAUUUCAAUGAGUUUAAUUCAUUUCUUUUAUUUUGGUGUUAACAUUUUCAUUUAUGAUGUUUUUAGAUAUGUAUACCUUUUGUGCUUUUCUUGGUUGAUAUUUGAUGAGCCUGUAUUUCAUCAUUCUUUAAAAUGUUUAAACAUGUCUUAUUUUCUACUAUUUUCUCUGUUUAUUUAAAUGUCUGUUUUGAAAAUUCAUUAGAAAUAGCCCUUUCAUUCCAUUUUCAAUUUAUUUUCACCUCUAUUUUAUAUUUUCUAUUCAUUUUUCUUCUUGUCCUGACACCUAAGUAUAGAUUUCAGUUCAUUCUUUUACUCAUAUUUUAGCUCAUAUUUUUUACAUUGCCUGUAUCCCUCUAAUCUGUAAAUGUUUCUAAUUACAUAUAUAUUUUCUAUACCUAAUACACUACUUUGGAAUUCCUUGAGGCCUAAUUGUAUAGGGUGCUCUGGUUUUGUUGUUGUUAUUUCUGAAUGACAUUGACUUCGGUGGUCUUCAUUUUGCAUGUUUAAAAAUAUUAGAUUGUGUGAUUAUAUUUGACAGGUCUUAACUGAUGUGCCGUUCAGUGCUUUGGGUUGAGCUUUGGGUUCGGUUGAGUUUUGGGUUGGAGAAUUUUCUUCCACAGGAGACUGUCUUGGAUUUUUCUGUUUCUCCCUCAAUAUCCACCUGGAAAACAUUUGAAUUAAUUUAUAGUCACUUAAAUAUUUCUGUGCAAAAACUGUGUACAGAAGCCCCAAAGUAACAAUGGGCUGCCUUCCUUCCUGAAUCAGCCAAGGCAUAGCCUGAGGAGCUUCACUGUUUAUCUUCCUUUGACUGCAGUCUGAGUAUUCUAGGCCAUUUUUCUUAGACUUGUGGAACUUUGAGGCUUUUCCUUUAGUUAGGCUGGUCAGUUUCUUCUCCCCUUCACUGGUGUUGCUGUAGCAUUGUAUCCACACCCAAAUGCUGUUAAAACCCAACAAAGGAUGCCCCUAUUAUGACUGCACCAUCAUGGGCAGCCCCACCCUGCCAGCUUUGCUGUCAUCCUCCCUCCUUCCUGCCACCUCUGCUUCUUCACUUUCAUUCCCCACUUAGGAAUAAUUUGCCCAGUUGAGCACAUAUUCUGUUGUCCAGCAUUUAUGGUGGUUUGUAGUGGAAAAGAUUUUUAGAAUAUGUGGAUUUUUGGAAUAUUUCCUCCAAAAGCCCAGAUAGCCACACUUUACCUUUGGAGGAAUUAUUUCUCAGAAUACUGCACACAACCGCCUUUGGAAGGAGCAUAUAUCCCCAGCAAAAGCUCUGAUUUUUUGAAGUCUGUAUUGUGUGUUAUUUCCAGGAGAAUAUAGCAAUGAUGAUAAUGUUAUUAAACAAUUCAAAUAUGAAAUGCUGUUAUGCCUAACAUAAGGAUUUUACGUGAUCAUGCCUUUUGGCUGAGGAGAAUACUCCUGUCUUGUUGGAAUUAUUGAUAAUUUGACCGUAAUUGCUAAUGAGUCAGAAAAAUUAGGAACACCAAGUUUCAGUCUUCUCAAGAGCACUCCUCUUAUUAAAUUUGAACUUUUACCUUUAUCACAUGCAAAAGAAAUAU